AGUGAACGCUGGCGGUAGGCCUAACACAUGCAAGUCGAACGGCAGCACCGUAAGAGCUUGCUCUUACGGGUGGCGAGUGGCGGACGGGUGAGGUAUACAUCGGAAUCUACUUUUUCGUGGGGGAUAACGUAGGGAAACUUACGCUAAUACCGCAUACGACCUACGGGGGAAGGCAGGGGAUCUUCUGACCUUGCGCGAUUGAAUGAGCCGAUGUCGGAUUAGCUAGUUGGCGGGGUAAAGGCCCACCAAGACGACGAUCCGUAGCUGGUCUGAGAGGAUGAUCAGCCACCCUGGAAGUGAGACAGGGUCCAGACUCCUACGGGAGGCAGCAGUGGGGAAUAUUGGGCAAUGGGCGCAAGCCUGAUCCAGCCAUACCGCGUGGGUGAAGAAGGCGUUCGGGUUGUAAAGCCCUUUUGUUGGGAAAGAAAAGCAGCAGGUUAAUACCCCGCUGUUCUGACGGUACCCAAAGAAGAAGCACCGGCUAACUUCGUG
Molecule: ribosomal RNA, 492 nt
Filed under: uncultured bacterium
Lineage: Bacteria
Description: partial 16S ribosomal RNA
Rfam family: Bacterial small subunit ribosomal RNA
Source: RNAcentral